UGGAUCAGUGGUGACAAAUGGACGCGUGUGAGUCAUCUGUGAGGUGUGUCUCGUCACUGGAACUCCUGUGUCCAG
Cavia porcellus (domestic guinea pig) is the source of this 75-nucleotide non-coding RNA. The record is from Rfam. NCBI's taxonomy places the organism in Eukaryota, Metazoa, Chordata, Mammalia, Rodentia, Caviidae.